AUCUCACAUGCUUCCACGGAUCGUCCGGCACGUACCUGCCGGGAAGAGAGCGAGAA
Regulatory RNA element from Kocuria palustris PEL, 56 nucleotides. It matches the Rfam family "msiK RNA". The record is from Rfam. NCBI's taxonomy places the organism in Bacteria, Bacillati, Actinomycetota, Actinomycetes, Micrococcales, Micrococcaceae.